AAAUUAUAAAGUAAUUUUAAAUGUUAAUCCAUAGGGGUACAGCCCUAUGGAAUAAGGAUACAACCUUAAUUAGAGAGUAUAUUAUUUAUAAAACCAUCGUUGGCUUAAAAGCAGCCACCAAUUAAGAUAGCGUUCAAGCUCAACAAUAAUUAUAUUACUUAAUACUAUUAUUCAAUAAUCAACUCCUAAUAUAAUCACUGGACUAUUCUACAUAAUAAGUAGAAGAAAUACUGUUAAUAUGAGUAACAAGAUACUUAUCUCCCAGCACAAGUUUAUAUCAGCCCUAAUACUUAACUGAUAGUUAACAACCAAAUAAAUUUAUAUACAAAUUAAAAUUUUAUAUAAAAAUUGUUAAUCCAACACCGGAGUGCACUUAAGGAAAGAUUAAAAGAAAUAAAAGGAACUCGGCAAACACAAACCCCGCCUGUUUACCAAAAACAUCACCUCUAGCAUAGCAAGUAUUAGAGGCACUGCCUGCCCAGUGACAUAAGUUAAACGGCCGCGGUAUCCUGACCGUGCAAAGGUAGCAUAAUCAUUUGUUCCUUAAUUAGGGACUAGUAUGAAUGGCCACACGAGGGUUUAACUGUCUCUUAUUUCUAAUCAGUGAAAUUGACCUUCCCGUGAAGAGGCGGGAAUAAUAAAAUAAGACGAGAAGACCCUAUGGAGCUUAAAUUAUAUAACCCAAUAAUAUAUAAUCACAUACCUAAUUAGGGAUUAAAAACUAUUUAUCUGGGAUAUAGAUUUCGGUUGGGGUGACCUCGGAGUAUAGAAUAACCUCCGAGCGAUUUAAGCCAAGAUUAACAGAUCGAAGUAAUAAAUCAAAUAUUGAUCCAAUCCAAUUGAUCAACGAAACAAGUUACCCUAGGGAUAACAGCGCAAUCCUAUUCAAGAGUCCCUAUCGACAAUAGGGUUUACGACCUCGAUGUUGGAUCAGGUACAUCCUAAUGGUGCAGCAGCUAUUAAUGGUUCGUUU
Molecule: ribosomal RNA, 973 nt
Filed under: Myosorex varius (Forest shrew)
Lineage: Eukaryota; Metazoa; Chordata; Mammalia; Eulipotyphla; Soricidae
Description: partial 16S ribosomal RNA
Rfam family: Bacterial large subunit ribosomal RNA
Source: RNAcentral